This is a long non-coding RNA of Papaver somniferum (opium poppy), 1090 nucleotides long. RefSeq lists it as uncharacterized. NCBI's taxonomy places the organism in Eukaryota, Viridiplantae, Streptophyta, Magnoliopsida, Ranunculales, Papaveraceae. The record is from RefSeq and is a predicted model, not a curated record. The transcript has 7 exons.
UCUAUUCCUUGGUUAUCCUAACUUCAAGGAUUUUCAGAACUCUAACUUAAGGUGAAAAAUGGUGAACAAUAAUGAACAAUCAGCUCCAGCAACAUCAUCUUCUGAGGACGCAACACCCACAAGGAACGUGCGGGGUCUACUCGAGGGCUUAAGUUGGAUGCCCUAAUUGCUGCCAACCAAGGGAAGUUGUGUGUUCACUUCUCAGAGUUAGAAGGAAAGCCUGACUGCGAAAAUGUCAGUCCACUCGCAAACGAGUGUGGGGUGAUUGUUCGUUCCCUUUCCCCGUUACAAUACAAGUCGUGGACGAAAAUACCUAUUCGUGAGAGAGACGCGCUGUUUGAAAGACUCAAGAAUAAAUUCAUUUUUAGACACUUCUUUGCCAAUGGUGAAGGAGUUCUUAAUGAAAUAUAUGGGCAGUAAGUAAUCAAACCGCAGGAAUAAAAUGUCAAUUCAUUUUCAAGAGUCCUUGAAAGCUGAAACAUAUGAAGAUGCCAAGAUAAAGCCUUAUGAAAACGUGUCGCUGGAAGAUUGGGACUGGUUGUGCGACCAUGUGUUUUCCAGUGAAAGUUUCAAGAAGCGCUCUGCAGCAGGUGCAAAAGCAAGAGAAGUUGUUCCGUUCAACCAUUGUGGAGGUUCUAAGUCACAUGUGGUCCACAGGGCGGAGCUGGAUUCGAGCAAGGUUACAUUCAAAUAUUCUAUGACACCCAUUCAUUUACCAAUAAAGAAACAGGCGAAGUUGUUUGGAUUUCUGAUGAAGCUCGCAUCAAAUGGGACACGAUGAAUGAGCUAAUGCAGCAAGGCAGCGAAGCGGGAGCUACACCACCCACUGAGGCUGAAGUAUGUGCUCAGGUUUUAAAGAAAAAACAAAGACGACGCCGUUCUGCGACCACUGUUUCUAACAAUGAAAGAAUUCAUGAAAUGCUGUAAGCGCAGGCUGAUAGAAUUCAAGCUCAGGAAGAGCAGAUACGCGCCCAGAAUGAGGUUAUCAAAAAGAUGAAGGAAGACAGUGAAAAGGUCAUAAGAAACACACAAGAUAUGAUGAUACGUUCUCUCGGGUUGAACAAUAUUACCGCUAGUGGAUCUGAACAAC